This 517-nucleotide ribosomal RNA is filed under the name Barytelphusa sp. SD-2005. Its description in RNAcentral is "SSU rRNA". It matches the Rfam family "Eukaryotic small subunit ribosomal RNA", at positions 685 to 1197 of the family's 1831-position model. Lineage: Eukaryota; Metazoa; Arthropoda; Malacostraca; Decapoda; Gecarcinucidae. The record is from RNAcentral.
CAGCCACAACAGCCCGCUGGCUCGCACGGGGUGCUCUUCAUCGAGUGUCCCGCGUGGCCGGCAGAGUUUACUUUGAAAAAAUUAGAGUGCUCAAAGCAGGCUACACUGACGGCCUGAAUGCCUAUGCAUGGAAUAAUGGAAUAGGACCUCGGUUCUAUUUUGUCGGUUUUCUGAACCCGAGGUAAUGACUAAUAGGAACAGGCGGGGGCAUUCGUAUUGCGACGCUAGAGGUGAAAUUCUUGGACCGUCGCAAGACGAACUACUGCGAAAGCAUUUGCCAAGGAUGUUUUCAUUAAUCAAGAACGAAAGUUAGAGGUUCGAAGGCGAUCAGAUACCGCCCUAGUUCUAACCAUAAACGAUGCUGACCAGCGAUCCGCCGGCGUUAUUCCCAUGACCCGGCGGGCAGCUUCCGGGAAACCAAAGUCUUUGGGUUCCGGGGGAAGUAUGGUUGCAAAGCUGAAACUUAAAGGAAUUGACUGAAGGGCNCCACCUNGANUGGAGCCUGCNGCUUAAUUUG